This 253-nucleotide ribosomal RNA is filed under the name uncultured bacterium. RNAcentral's name for it is "partial 16S ribosomal RNA". It matches the Rfam family "Bacterial small subunit ribosomal RNA", at positions 524 to 776 of the family's 1533-position model. The record is from RNAcentral.
UACAGAGGAUGCAAGCGUUAUCCGGAAUGAUUGGGCGUAAAGCGUCUGUAGGUGGCUUUUUAAGUCCGCCGUCAAAUCCCAGGGCUCAACUCUGGACAGGCGGUGGAAACUACCAAGCUGGAGUACGGUAGGGGCAGAGGGAAUUUCCGGUGGAGCGGUGAAAUGCGUAGAGAUCCGGAAGAACACCGGUGGCGAAGGCGGUCUGCUGGGCCAAAACUGACGCUGAGGCGCGACAGCGUGGGGAGCAAACAGG